This 113-nucleotide non-coding RNA is filed under the name Chloroflexota bacterium. Its description in RNAcentral is "Chloroflexi bacterium (Maroochydoore River metagenome) 6S RNA". It matches the Rfam family "6S / SsrS RNA". From Rfam's summary of the family: E. coli 6S RNA was the first non coding RNA to be sequenced, but its function was unknown until recently. It consists of 184 nucleotides that fold into an extended hairpin structure with a large single-stranded internal bulge. Lineage: Bacteria; Bacillati; Chloroflexota. The record is from RNAcentral.
GGUGCCCUGCUGUGUGCGUGAAACAGCUACUGCGUUCUGAGCCAACACCCACUUAUNNCCCCCCUGCGAAGGCAGGUUCAGAACAUCGUUGUUCACGGCAUGGUGGGGCCUUU